GCUCAGAAUCAACGCUGGCGGCGCGCCUAACACAUGCAAGUCGAACGAGAACGCGGGGCAACCAGCAAGUAACGUGGCGUACGGGUGAGUAACACGUGGAUAAUCUACCUCUUUGUGGGGAAUAACCGAGGGAACCAUUGGCUAAUACCGCAUAAGCUCGAGAGAGGAACCGCGAACGCGGCAGAGAGAGGAGUCCGCGGCCGAUUAGCUAGUUGGUAGGGUAAGAGUCUACCAAGGCAACGAUCGGUAGCCGGCCUGAGAGGGCACACGGGGACCCUGGCACUGAACCACGGGCCAGACUCCUACGGGAGGCAGCAGUGGGGAAUCUUGCACAAUGGGGGAACCACUGGUGCAGCGACGCCGCGUGAGUGAUGAAGCCAUUCGGGGUGUAACGCUCUUUCGGCAGGGAAGAUGAUGACGGUACCUGCAGAAGCAGCUGCGGCUAACUACGUGCCAGCAGCCGCGGUAAUACGUAGGCAGCAAGCGUUGUUCGGAGUUACUGGGCGUAACGGGUGUGUAGGCGGUUGUUUAAGUUUGGUGUGAACUCUCCAGGCUCAACUGGGAGGGUGCGCCGAAUACUGAAUGACUUGGAGUGCGGGAGAGGAACGUGGAAUUCCUGGUGUAGCGGUGAACUGCGUAGAUAUCAGGAGGAACACCGGUGGUGUAGACGGCUUUCUGGACCGUAACUGACGCUGAGACACGAACGCGUGGGUAGCAACCAGGAUUAGAUACCAUGGUAGUCCACGCCAUAACCGAUGCAUAUUUGGUGUGGGCA
RNAcentral lists this ribosomal RNA (775 nucleotides) under uncultured bacterium. RNAcentral describes it as "bacterial SSU rRNA". It matches the Rfam family "Bacterial small subunit ribosomal RNA", at positions 22 to 828 of the family's 1533-position model. The record is from RNAcentral.